CCUACGUGAGGCUGCAGUAGGGAAUAUUGCUCAAUGGGGGAAACUCUGAAGCAGCAACGCCGCGUGGAGGAUGAAGGUUUUCGGAUUGUAAACUCCUUUUGUUAGAGAAGAUAAUGACUGUAUCUAACGAAUAAGCACUGGCUAACUCCGUGCCAGCAGCCGCGGUAAUACGGAGGGUGCAAGCGUUAUACGGAGUAACUGGGCGUAAAGAGCGCGUAGGCGGGAUAGUAAGUCAGAUGUGAAAUCCUAUGGCUGAACCGUAGAACUGCAUUUGAAACUGUUAUUCUAGAGUAUGGGAGAGGUAGGUGGAAUUCUUGGUGUAGGGGUAAAAUGCGUAGAGAUCAAGAAGAAUACUGAUUGCGAAGGCGACCUGCUAGAACAUAACUGACGCUGAGGCUCGAAAGCGCGGGUAUCGAACAGGAUUAGAUACCCUUGUAGUC
Molecule: ribosomal RNA, 440 nt
Filed under: uncultured bacterium
Lineage: Bacteria
Description: partial 16S ribosomal RNA
Rfam family: Bacterial small subunit ribosomal RNA
Source: RNAcentral